GACGAACGCUGGCGGCGUGCUUAACACAUGCAAGUCGAACGGAAAGGCCCUGCUUUUGUGGGGGGCUCGAGUGGCGCGCGGGUGUGUAACACGUGAGUAACCUGCCCUUGACUUUGGGAUAACUUCAGGAAACUGGGGCUAAUACCGGAUAGGAGCUCCUGCUGCGUGGUGGGGGGUGGAGAGUUUCGGCGGUUGGGGAUGGACUCGCGGCUUAUCAGCUUGUUGGUGGGGUAGUGGCUUACCAAGGCUUUGACGGGUAGCCGGCCUGAGAGGGUGACCGGCAACAUUGGGACUGGGAUAGGGCCCAGACUCCUACGGGAGGCAGCAGUGGGGAAUAUUGCACAAGGGGCGGAAGCCGGAUGAAGCAACGCCGCGUGCGGGAUGACGGCCUUCGGGUGGUAAACCGCUUUCGCCUGUGACGAAGCGUGAGUGACGGUAAUGGGUAAAGAAGCACCGGCUAACUACGUG
RNAcentral lists this ribosomal RNA (468 nucleotides) under uncultured bacterium. RNAcentral describes it as "partial 16S ribosomal RNA". It matches the Rfam family "Bacterial small subunit ribosomal RNA", at positions 28 to 507 of the family's 1533-position model. The record is from RNAcentral.